Long non-coding RNA from Tyto alba (common barn owl), 3188 nucleotides. RefSeq lists it as uncharacterized. Lineage: Eukaryota; Metazoa; Chordata; Aves; Strigiformes; Tytonidae. The transcript is spliced from 2 exons. The record is from RefSeq and is a predicted model, not a curated record.
UUUUGGUCCAGAUUGGCAUAGAGAAAAGGACAUUCUUAAGACUUAAGAAUAUUGCUGUAACGUGAACUGUAGUUUGUAGCCAGCUCUUGUUUUGAAGUUAUUUAUUUACCAUGACUAAUUCAGACUUUCGCCUCACACGUGGCAUUGCCUGGGCUCUCUGGGCACCAGGACACGAGGCGCUUGGCGCCCAGGAAGGAAACGCCACCGGUUCCCACCGGCAGUGCCAGCCUUGCUCCGGACCCUGAAAAUGAGUAUCAUUAACACCGAGUUUCUAAAAUGCAUUUCACAUCUAUGCACAGAUGUGUGCCAAAAUUAAAGUGUGGAUGCAGAAUCAAAUUGCUGCCUUGCUAUUUCUCAUCUUGCCCUAUUUUUUUUUUAUAAUUAAUCAGCCUGGAGACACUAAGGAGCCAAGUGUUGUGGCAGCGAAGAGGUGAUUCGGGAAGGACCAGUGGGCUGCAAAUCUCCUGGCAGCAGGACCAACUCCACUCUGCAGCCACCCCUGUUUUAAGGGUAAAUAUGCUGGCAGACGGACAGAAGACCCAGCAGGGCCCACAGCAUCCUCUCGUACACAUUGCUGCUGCAGAAAGCUUCACGUCUGGGCUCACAAAUGCUGUGGAGCCAAACGCUUCCCCAGGAGUGGGUAGUUGCUGGUGCUCAGCAAACAUGUGCAUUCACAUUCUGCUUUAGCUGAAGCUGAAAAGUCCAGUCUGGUCUUUUCUAGAAGUUCACAAGUAGAGGCUGGAUCAGGCUUAAAGCUGCCAAAUGCAGCAUAUUUUUGUAUUGUGUUAAUACUAUUAAUAAAUUAACCUGAAACAACUCCUUGCCAGUGAAACUAGGAUCCUGGCAUGACACUGAUGGAGAGCUGCCCAGAACAAACCAGUGUCCGAACUUGGUCUCCCCGAUGUCCCCCAACUCCAGGCUCGGGCCUUCCUCAGCUGGGUGGGCUCAGCAGUCGGUGUCCCAGCUGUGCCCUAUUUCACAGCCCUGCAAGCAAGGGCUUCCAGCCAAGGGCACCCAGGUGAGAGAAUAAACCAUGCUGAGGUGCUGAUUGCGCACUAGAAUAGCCAAGAUCAUCUUUCAUAAAAGAAUGAAAAAUUGCUGUCCGUGUCUGGUUUUUAACUAUUGCAGAACCUCAUGAAUUUCCUGCUUUUUAAGCAUUAUUAACCAGCAGAGAUUUACAGCUGUUUGCAUUUGUGAAGCCUCAGAUUACUAACAUUUUCUGCUUUUAGAAAAUAGGCUACAGAUUCUUUAGUAACGAAUGAAGAAAUGUCAAAUAUCUGGGCACUGAAAUGAAAUCCCUAUUGUCAAGGCAAUUAAAUACCUCAUUCCUGUUGCACUUGGUUUACUGUGCCUUCCUAUUGGCAAACUGCUCUGCAGUAAGUUUUGUGUCAUUACCGUGAAUUAACUAUGUUCUACACUCUAUAAAUAUUUAUUAUGAUCAAGACAUAUUAGGCAUGGCAGAUGCAAAAAUCUGAUGACGCUAUCUCAAGCAGCAAUACAGUCUUUCAAGCCAGCAUGAGACUGUAGACUGCUCAGACCAUUCCAUGAUGCAUUGAGAUUUUUGUGUGGAGCCUCAAAGAGCGUGCAGAGUCUAGCUGAAGUUCACAAAGAAAACAAAGCACUUGAGCACCUGGUAGCUUGAUGCUUUUUUUUUUUUUUUUUCCUUUUCUUUAAAGUAGAGGCCAAUGACACAUUUGGAGAUAAUUAAAACAAAGGCUGAGCUUUUUUUAAUAUGCCAUGAGUAUUAGCAGCUGGAUGAGGAAGAAGCCAGCAAAAAAGCAGCAUACUCUUACACCAUCUAUAAAUAAAACCAGGCUUCAAAACUGAGAGAGCAGUCUUUCUUUUUUUUUUUUUUUUUAAAUUCCCUUUUUCCCCUCCACAGAAAAUCUUUUCUUUGUGCCAGGACUAAAAUAUUAGCACCGUGUUCCCUCCUCUGUUUAAACAGACCUCAUUGCAUCUAAGUGCCAAAAGAGUGGAAUUCCUGAACAGCAGGUGAAAAGAAAACACAAGAUCAAAAGCAGCUCUGGCUGCCAAGAGAACCUGCAGCACUGCUUGGGGGUGCAUGAAAAAGUCACGCAGACUCCUGGUGGUGUCAAAGACUUUUGGAAGGUCAUCAAGGAGGUUUUUUUUCAAGCAUCCCACUUCAAAAAGCAGCACUAGGAGACAAACCUGCAAUACAUCAUGAGGAUGGUGCUAAAGAUACCGAUCACCCACUUGUAGGAGAAUUUAACUGUUUUUCCCCAUCGCAUCUAUGGAAGCAGCUCUAAGAAAUCAGUGCUCAGAGUGGAGCCUGUGGGUAAGAAAAUAGAUGUAAGCGCUCAUGCUGGAGGAACGUUAGGCAAUGGCUGGUUUGGGUCCAUAGCCCACUGGGAGCACUAUUGAAGAAAUGUGUCUUUUUCAGCUCAUCCUUCCAGUGAAGGCGAAGGGCCUAUGUUUUGCUGUCCUUGUAAACAGCCAGCUCUAACAUUAGUUCCUAUCGCCAAGCAACAAAGUUCUUUUAAAUAAAGACAUACCUUAGUAGGGUUGAAAAUAAUCUGAGAUGCACAUCUAUUCCUAAAGACAGCCUUUUUUUUUUUUUUUUUUUAAUUUUAAAAUUCUGCAUCUGAAAACACAGUAUGACAGAAAGCAUUUAUAUACAACUGCAGUGUUUUUGGUAUAAUACAGUAUUUAAUACAUCCAUUUAUUUUUCUGCAAAAAAAUUUGCUUUGUCAGACAAAAAAACCAAAUUCCCAUUAACAAAGAAUACAGCUAAGGCACAUUGUUUUCUGCUAAAUGAAAGACAAAAGGGUGAAAAAACGGGUAGUGCAAUAAUUGCUGAAAGUCACAUUCUACUACAAGAAAAGCAUUCUGACUUUGAACUUUGAUUACCAGUCAAUUUAAGACAUUUCAAUAUCUCAUAAAAUACUCCUUUAAAUAAAUAGCAAAAUAUCUACAUCUUUCAGUGUGUUCCAUUUGAAUUUCCAAUUUUUUUUUAAACUUUGCUGUAUAUACAUGGUUUUAUUUUUUCUUAUUCAAUAGCUUACAAAAUAUUUCUGUACAAUUUUAUGCAUAUUAUGAUCUAUAACAAAAUAGUUAUUUCUUAAAACUAUAUUACCACCAGUCUUUGAAAAUGACAGAACAGGAAUAACUUAUUACGGACUAUGUUAGGCAAUACAAAAAUCCAAUCAAAACAAAACAAAAAUGACAAA